This 301-nucleotide ribosomal RNA is filed under the name uncultured bacterium. Its description in RNAcentral is "partial 16S ribosomal RNA". It matches the Rfam family "Bacterial small subunit ribosomal RNA", at positions 509 to 807 of the family's 1533-position model. The record is from RNAcentral.
CAGUAGCCGCGGUAAUACGAAGGGUGCAAGCGUUAAUCGGAAUUACUGGGCGUAAAGGGCUCGCAGGCGGUUUCUUAAGUCUGAUGUGAAAGCCCCCGGCUCAACCGGGGAGGGUCAUUGGAAACUGGGAAACUUGAGUGCAGAAGAGGAGAGUGGAAUUCCACGUGUAGCGGUGAAAUGCGUAGAGAUGUAGAGGAACACCAGUGGCGAAGGCGACUCUCUGGUCUGUAACUGACGCUGAGGAGCGAAAGCGUGGGGAGCGAACAGGAUUAGAUACCCCCGUAGUCCCUGUCUCUUAUAC